UGAAGCUGGAAACCAUCAUUCUCAGCAAACUAUCGCAAGGACAAAAAAACCAAACACCGCAUGUUCUCACUCAUAGGUGGGAAUUGAACAACGAGAACACAUGGACACAGGAAGGGGAACAUCACACACUGGGGAUGGUUGUGGGGUGGGGGGAGAGGGGAGGGAUAGCAUUAAGAGGCAGUCCUUGCCAAAGAGCAUAA
Molecule: long non-coding RNA, 200 nt
Filed under: Homo sapiens (human)
Lineage: Eukaryota; Metazoa; Chordata; Mammalia; Primates; Hominidae
Description: HSALNT0345886
Source: RNAcentral